RNAcentral lists this unclassified non-coding RNA (856 nucleotides) under Gigantopelta aegis. RNAcentral describes it as "uncharacterized LOC121386556, transcript variant X2". Lineage: Eukaryota; Metazoa; Mollusca; Gastropoda; Neomphalida; Peltospiridae. The record is from RNAcentral.
CACGGCUAGAGAGACGGCGUGUGUGACAGCAGAUGUAAGUGAUCUGGGACAAUACCUGCGAUAUACCUGAACCUAGACAAUCUGCCCGCGUUUCGAAAACAAAGACAGUGACGUCAUUUGGACGGAGUAACCAGUUUCAGAGCGUACGACUGUGUUAAGUGCAGGUGCUAUAUUAGGAAUUGCGACCGCUAUCUUACUGGCUAUUCUUAUACCCGUGGCUUGGAUAAUUUACAAGAGAAAAAUAAAAAAGAAAGAAACUGAAGAUGGGCAGAACACAGAAACAACAUAAAAAAAUAAAAAAAUGUAGCCGACAACGCUGGCUUUGUCCUUAACUAGUGACCGACUAUGGAGUACAAAAUGGCACCAUCUCCAGAAGUGCACAGUGUUUAUCGUUUUGUUUAAAACUAUAUGGGUGAAUAUAAAAAAUAGAUCUUUUGUGUAACAAAAAGGUUGAAAGUUCAUACAGGUUCAAAUAGCACAUCGGGCAUGCCAUAACAUUAUAUAUGAUGAAAAACCACAGCAAUUAUGGAGAUAUACAAAUUUAAGAAAAUACAAAAAGGAUAAAACAUCCAUCAUCCAUGAACUCCAGAAUGUUUGUAUUUCAUUUCUGUUAGAAAGGUACUGUUUGUUUCAAUACAAAAGCUAUGUUUAUGCCUUUAAAGUAAACAACAUAUGGAUCAAAAUUAAAAACAAACAACAUCCGUGCAGUUCUGCUUAAUUACAUCUCAUACAGAUCUCCCAUUCACACAUCAAAGAAAUUAACAACAAUAGCAUUCAAUGUCUCCUGUCAGGCAUAUUAUAACACGGACCAACAUUACGUAUGUGGUGCUACAAGCCUGACCUUCCGCAAACAAAC